Molecule: non-coding RNA, 32 nt
Filed under: Mus musculus (house mouse)
Lineage: Eukaryota; Metazoa; Chordata; Mammalia; Rodentia; Muridae
Source: RNAcentral
UGGUCAGUUACUAAUUUCAUAACCUUCAGAUC